UUUCGCAAUGCCCGAAAGGGUGACGAAGCGACGCCGCGUGGGUGAGGAAGGCCUUCGGGUUGUAAAGCCCUGUCAGGAGUUAAGAAAUGUAAGUGCGCUAAUAUCGCAUUUAUUUGACGAAGGCUCCAAAGGAAGUCACGGCUAACUCUGUGCCAGCAGCCGCGGUAAUACAGAGGUGGCAAGCGUUGUUCGGAAUUAUUGGGCGUAAAGAGCACGUAGGUGGGUUUGUAAGUCAGAUGUGAAAGCCUCCUGUUCAACGGGAGAAUUGCAUCUGAAACUGCGGAUCUUGAGUGUAGGAGGGGAGAAUGGAACUUCUGGUGGAGCGGUGAAAUGCGUAGAUAUCAGAAGGAACGCCGGCGGCGAAAGCGAUUCUCUGGCCUAUUACUGACACUCAGUGUGCGAAAGCUAGGGGAGCAAACGGGAUUAGAUACCCCGGUAGUCCUAGCCGUAAACGAUGGGCACUAAGUAGAGGGGUUUUAA
RNAcentral lists this ribosomal RNA (480 nucleotides) under uncultured anaerobic ammonium-oxidizing bacterium. Its description in RNAcentral is "bacterial SSU rRNA". It matches the Rfam family "Bacterial small subunit ribosomal RNA", at positions 364 to 834 of the family's 1533-position model. The record is from RNAcentral.